GAUGAGCGCUGGCGGCGUGCUUAACACAUGCAAGUCGAACGGAAAGGCCCAAGCUUGCUUGGGUACUCGAGUGGCGAACGGGUGAGUAACACGUGGGUGAUCUGCCCUGCACUUCGGGAUAAGCCUGGGAAACUGGGUCUAAUACCGGAUAGGACCACAUUUUGGAUGGUGUGGUGGAAAGUUUUUCGGUGUGGGAUGAGCUCGCGGCCUAUCAGCUUGUUGGUGGGGUAAUGGCCUACCAAGGCGUCGACGGGUAGCCGGCCUGAGAGGGUGUACGGCCACAUUGGGACUGAGAUACGGCCCAGACUCCUACGGGAGGCAGCAGUGGGGAAUAUUGCACAAUGGGCGCAAGCCUGAUGCAGCGACGCCGCGUGGGGGAUGACGGCCUUCGGGUUGUAAACUCCUUUCGCUAGGGACGAAGCGUUAUGUGACGGUACCUGGAGAAGAAGCACCGGCUAACUACGUG
RNAcentral lists this ribosomal RNA (466 nucleotides) under uncultured bacterium. RNAcentral's name for it is "partial 16S ribosomal RNA". It matches the Rfam family "Bacterial small subunit ribosomal RNA", at positions 28 to 507 of the family's 1533-position model. The record is from RNAcentral.